GGGCCUGUUGCACAAAAGUAGAAUUAAGACAUCCGGGAUAAAUGACUCAGCUGAGCUCAAUGAAGCCAAAACAUGUGCGUCCAGGCUUAAUUGGUUGCACAAAGACCAAGCCAGGAUGAGCAGACACGGAUUCAUUAAGCCAGGUGAAACCAAUCCUGGAUAGGUGCGCGCUCACGGCUCACUCAAAUAGACCCCGCCACAGAUCACAGAUUAACUGAUUUACCAUGGCAACUAGAGCCGCGUACUUUUCCCGGUCGGAAGCACACAUCCUCAUGGAGGCAUACGAGGAGGUAAAAGAUAUAAUUAAGAAGAAAGGCAACACCGCCACAGUGAUAAAGCAAAGAGAAAAAGCGUGGCAAAGUAUUGCAGACCGCCUGAAUGCGUAAGUAGUGCACAAUUACACACUCACCGCUCCGCUGAAACAUCACAAUUACAAUUCAAAUAUUUAAUUCACAUCUCCAAAAAUGCAGUUGUACUGUAAUUAUGAAACGUUAAAUUUUUAAUUGAAAUGCACUGCAGAUAUGAGUGAAAUUGUGUAAAGUAACUCCAUCACACUGUAUAAAGCUAUGAUAAAUUUUUUGAUAUUUUUACUGAAAACAAGACAAAAAUACCAAGUAAUUUUUGCAGUGUGACUCCAUUAAAUGUGUGUUUGUGUGUGUGUGUGUGUGUGUGUGUGUAGAUUAAACAUGAACGGGCCAAAACGGACAUGGCAGCAGGUCAAAAUCAAAUACAAGAACAUUCUGCAGAAUGCAGUGAAAAAGAAUACCCACAGACAAGGCACGGGUGGUGGGUCACCAAAGGCUGACCUUACCCCAGCAGAGGACAUGGCCUUGGAGCUAAAUAAAGGCAGGCCCGUCUUAGAGGGGAUCCCUGGGGGAAAGAGACGAGCAUAGGUUCCUCCCAAGAUGCCACCCGCUUCAUUCAAGUGCCUGGCAGCACUGUGUUCCUGUUAGAGCCACCAGCACAAGCACCAGACGAUGCUGAUCCAGGUGAAGGCCCCAGUGCAGCAGCAACAGCACAUGAUGGAGACGAUGAUGAGGAGGAGACCAUCUCUCUGGAUUCCAGAAGGCAUGAGGACCCAGAUGCUAUACAGUGGGAAAACCAGCCUGGCAACAUAGUGCGUAUUAAUAAAAGGACACCACAUCCUGCCAAAUUCCAGCUGCGCUAAUUGUAUUGUGUUCACAGAGCUCACAAGCUAUCAGAAAGUUGUAUGGCAACCACCUCCGGCGCCAAAUAGAACUGGCAGACAUAGACAUUCAGUACAAGAAGAAAAAGAUGGAAAAUCUUGCACUGGAGUCCGAAAUAAAAAAGAGGACAAUUAGGAAACUGGACCUUGAAAUAAAAAAACUUGAGAGGGAGCUCCAAGAAGAUGACACAGCUCAAAAUAAAAAUUAGGUAUAUUCUCGUAAAGUCAAGUGAGCCAUGACAUAUGAGCUCUUAUUGUGAGCACACAGGACGGUGGAAUCUUUCUAAGGUUUUUUUUAUUUUCCCAGCAAUCAGUACAACCAAGUCAUCGUUAUAAGGCAUCGCCCUCUUUUGCCCACCCCCCCAGCACCAGGUGUGGCCACUAGCCUAUAUGAAGGCCCAAAAUUGUGUGUUCCUUUCUGCUCUGACAAUGGCAUGCCCAUUCGUGCGAGAUGUGGUGGAUGAAGAAGCACUUGUGCUGAGGAGAGCCUUCAGGCGAGAAAGGGUCUUCAGGGACCGGUUGGACCCACUGGCCUUCCCUGAUGACCAUCUAUUAGAAAGAUACAGGUUUUCUGCAGAUGGCAUCAGGUAUCUAUGCAGACUACUGGGUCCCAGGAUUAAGCACCGCACUGCACGGAGCCAUGCACUGAGUGUGGAGCAAAUGGUUUGUGUGGCCUUGCGCUUUUUUGCUAGUGGAGCCUUCCUGUACUCAGUGGGGGAUGCAGAACAGCUGAACAAGGCCACAAUUUGCCGCACAAUAAGGAGUGUGUGUCUGGCUAUCAAAGCAUUAGCAGAUGUCUUCAUCUCCUUCCCUGGCCACAGAAGACUCUGUGACAUCAAAGAGGAGUUCUAUAGGAUUGCAGGUUUCCCCAAUGUCAUUGGUGCAGUGGACUGCACACACAUAAGGAUAAAAGCCCCUCAGGUGCCCAUGAGGCCGAUUUUGUGAAUAGGAAAUCCUUUCACAGCAUUAAUGUUCAGAUGGUCUGCAAUGCUGACUGUGUGAUCAGCAAUGUUGUGGCAAAAUGGCCUGGCUCAGUCCAUGACUCCAGAAUCUUUCGGGCCUCUGAAAUCUAUCAGUGCCUAUCACAAGGUGAAUUCUCUGGUGUGUUGCUGGGAGACAGGGGUAUGGCUGCCAGCCUUUUCUCCUGACACCUUUCACAGACCCCCAGGAAGCACAGCAGGCCUACAACCAUGCCCAUGCCAGGACCAGGGCCAGAGUUGAAAUGACCUUUGGCCUCCUGAAGGCACGCUUUCACUGCCUUCACAAAUUAAGGGUCAGCCCUGUUAGGGCAUGUGAUAUUACUGUGGCUUGUGCUGUCCUCCACAAUGUGGCCUGCCUGAGGAAGGAGAGGGCCCCCAGAGUGCCACCAGCCAUGGACUGGGACAAUCCGGCAAUCUUCCCCUGAUGACGACAGUGGUCGGCUGCUGAGGGACCAAUAUGUGUUGAAUUAUUUUAGUUAGUAUGUGUGCUUUCAAUUUUGGUUAAAUAUGUCCUGCGGUGGCAGAGGAAUUUGGG
Long non-coding RNA from Oncorhynchus nerka (sockeye salmon), 2701 nucleotides. RefSeq lists it as uncharacterized. The record is from RefSeq and is a predicted model, not a curated record. NCBI's taxonomy places the organism in Eukaryota, Metazoa, Chordata, Actinopteri, Salmoniformes, Salmonidae. The transcript is spliced from 9 exons.